UGGGGGAUAUUGCACAAUGGGCGAAAGUCUGAUGCAGCGACGCCGCGUGGGGGAUGAAGGCUUUCGGGUUGUAAACCUCUUUCGCUAUCGAACAAGGCCCGCUUAGGGUGGGUUGAGGGUAGGUGGAGAAGAAGCGCCGGCUAACUACGUGCCAGCAGCCGCGGUAAUACGUAGGGCGCGAGCGUUGUCCGGAAUUAUUGGGCGUAAAGGGCUUGUAGGCGGCUUGUUGCGCCUGCUGUGAAAACGCGGGGCUUAACUUCGCGCGUGCAGUGGGUACGGGCAGGCUUGAGUGUGGUAGGGGUGACUGGAAUUCCAGGUGUAGCGGUGGAAUGCGCAGAUAUCUGGAGGAACACCGAUGGCGAAGGCAGGUCACUGGGCCAUUACUGACGCUGAGGAGCGAAAGCAUGGGUAGCGAACAGG
This 420-nucleotide ribosomal RNA is filed under the name bacterium. RNAcentral describes it as "partial 16S ribosomal RNA". It matches the Rfam family "Bacterial small subunit ribosomal RNA", at positions 355 to 776 of the family's 1533-position model. The record is from RNAcentral.